UUAAAGUUGUUGCAGUUAAAAAGCUMGUAGYUGAACCUUGGGCCUGGCUGGCCGGUCCGCCUCACYGCGUGCACUGGUCCGGCCGGGCCUUUACCUGUCAUGGGGAKCCGCAUGCCCUUCACUGGGUGUGUGCAGCGGGAACCAGGACUUUUACUUUGAAAAAAUUAGAGUGUUCAAAGCAGGCCUAUGCUCUGARUACAUUAGCAUGGAAUAAUA
RNAcentral lists this ribosomal RNA (216 nucleotides) under uncultured eukaryote. RNAcentral's name for it is "partial 18S ribosomal RNA". It matches the Rfam family "Eukaryotic small subunit ribosomal RNA", at positions 606 to 830 of the family's 1831-position model. The record is from RNAcentral.